GAACGCUAGCUACAGGCUUAACACAUGCAAGUCGCGGGGUAACAUCUGGUAGAGCUUGCUCUUCCAGGAUGACGACCGGCGCACGGGUGAGUAACGCGUAUCCAACCUGGCCCAUACCACGGGAUAGCCCGUCGAAAGGCGGAUUAAUACCGUAUGCUGUCAUUAAGAUGCAUAUAUUGAUGACGAAAGGACUGGCGGUAUGGGAUGGGGAUGCGUCUGAUUAGCUUGUUGGCGGGGUAACGGCCCACCAAGGCGACGAUCGGUAGGGGUUCUGAGAGGAAGGUCCCCCACAUUGGAACUGAGACACGGUCCAAACUCCUACGGGAGGCAGCAGUGAGGAAUAUUGGUCAAUGGCCGCGAGGCUGAACCAGCCAAGUAGCGUGCAGGAAGACGGCCCUAUGGGUUGUAAACUGCUUUUGCAGGGGAAUAAAGUAUGCCACGUGUGGUGUUUUGCAUGUACCCUGCGAAUAAGGAUCGGCUAAUUCCGUG
RNAcentral lists this ribosomal RNA (489 nucleotides) under uncultured bacterium. Its description in RNAcentral is "bacterial SSU rRNA". It matches the Rfam family "Bacterial small subunit ribosomal RNA", at positions 31 to 507 of the family's 1533-position model. The record is from RNAcentral.